Molecule: long non-coding RNA, 298 nt
Filed under: Phoenix dactylifera (date palm)
Lineage: Eukaryota; Viridiplantae; Streptophyta; Magnoliopsida; Arecales; Arecaceae
Description: long non-coding RNA (PDAC_LNC011696)
Source: RNAcentral
UGAAAGGUAUGUGCCAAAUUCUGAAAUUCUAUGUGCCAAAUUCUGAAAUUCAAUAUAAAUUUUAGAUUUGAUCAUUUUCAUUGUUACAAAUUGCUCCCCCUUAAAUGUAUAUGCUUUUCUAUUAUAAUUUUCAACUUGUUUGUCAACUUAUUUCUCUUUUCUUGCUCAACUCAUUUCUCUUUCCUUGCUUCUCCCCCUUUUUGUUAUCAUCAAAUAGGUGCAUGGGAAUAGACACAAUAAUUAACAAACAUUUCAGCUUCAUUGAUCAAAAUGGAACAUUGUAGUACAAUAAUGCCAA